Molecule: ribosomal RNA, 496 nt
Filed under: uncultured bacterium
Lineage: Bacteria
Description: partial 16S ribosomal RNA
Rfam family: Bacterial small subunit ribosomal RNA
Source: RNAcentral
GAUGGACGCUGGCGGCGUGCCUAAUACAUGCAAGUCGAGCGAACAGACGAGGAGCUUGCUCCUCUGACGUUAGCGGCGGACGGGUGAGUAACACGUGGAUAACCUACCUAUAAGACUGGGAUAACUUCGGGAAACCGGAGCUAAUACCGGAUAAUAUAUUGAACCGCAUGGUUCAAUAGUGAAAGACGGUUUUGCUGUCACUUAUAGAUGGAUCCGCGCCGCAUUAGCUAGUUGGUAAGGUAACGGCUUACCAAGGCGACGAUGCGUAGCCGACCUGAGAGGGUGAUCGGCCACACUGGAACUGAGACACGGUCCAGACUCCUACGGGAGGCAGCAGUAGGGAAUCUUCCGCAAUGGGCGAAAGCCUGACGGAGCAACGCCGCGUGAGUGAUGAAGGUCUUCGGAUCGUAAAACUCUGUUAUUAGGGAAGAACAAAUGUGUAAGUAACUAUGCACGUCUUGACGGUACCUAAUCAGAAAGCCACGGCUAACUACGU